Molecule: long non-coding RNA, 89 nt
Organism: Sinocyclocheilus anshuiensis
Lineage: Eukaryota; Metazoa; Chordata; Actinopteri; Cypriniformes; Cyprinidae
Exons: 3
Source: RefSeq, a predicted model, not a curated record
GAGCUAUCAAGAUAGGGGUGUGAACCUUUUGGGUAGGGGCGUGUUUGUUUUGGUGAUUUCAAAUAUCAACAGUGAUAGUCAGAAUGGCU